GAUGAACGCUGGCGGCGUGCCUAAUACAUGCAAGUCGAGCGAACGGACGAGAAGCUUGCUUCUCUGAUGUUAGCGGCGGACGGGUGAGUAACACGUGGAUAACCUACCUAUAAGACUGGGAUAACUUCGGGAAACCGGAGCUAAUACCGGAUAAUAUUUUGAACCGCAUGGUUCAAAAGUGAAAGACGGUCUUGCUGUCACUUAUAGAUGGAUCCGCGCUGCAUUAGCUAGUUGGUAAGGUAACGGCUUACCAAGGCAACGAUGCAUAGCCGACCUGAGAGGGUGAUCGGACACACUGGAACUGAGACACGGUCCAGACUCCUACGGGAGGCAGCAGUAGGGAAUCUUCCGCAAAGGGCGAAAGCCUGACGGAGCAACGCCGCGUGAGUGAUGAAGGUCUUCGGAUCGUAAAACUCUGUUAUUAGGGAAGAACACAUGUGUAAGUAACUGUGCACAUCUUGACGGUACCUAAUCAGAAAGCCACGGCUAACUACGUG
This 497-nucleotide ribosomal RNA is filed under the name uncultured bacterium. Its description in RNAcentral is "partial 16S ribosomal RNA". It matches the Rfam family "Bacterial small subunit ribosomal RNA", at positions 28 to 507 of the family's 1533-position model. The record is from RNAcentral.